RNAcentral lists this long non-coding RNA (1426 nucleotides) under Cyanistes caeruleus (blue tit). Its description in RNAcentral is "lncRNA (ENSCCEG00000004197.1)". The record is from RNAcentral. Lineage: Eukaryota; Metazoa; Chordata; Aves; Passeriformes; Paridae.
UCACUGCUGUGUCCCCCUCACCUCACGGGGCCAGGCGUGGUGGCGAGGCCUGGGUGCGCAGAGGCUGGGACACUGCUCCCGACACUUGGUGUGUAGCAGCAGCUGGCACUGGCAGCACUUGAUGGCAGUCUUCCCAAAGCGGAUGCGGGAACCACAGACGUGACAUGGCUCAGGGCGAAUCACCUGGAUAGGGGGAACUGGAUUCAGGGGCCCCCCUUCUUGCGGAUACCCAGUACCACUCAGUCUUCUCCCAGCCAGGUCCCACUGUCUCCAUGCGUUCCCCUUGCAGGCAGAGCUAAGGGACUGGGGAAUGAAGGACAGCCUUGCCCCCAUAACUCUCUCCCCUGCCCACCUCCCCAGAGAAGAGAGAUGCUGGGUCACGCACCGUUUUGGAGGCAAACUUGUGCUGGACUGGUGGGAGACUCUGUGGAGGUGAGGGGAAGUGGGCUGGUGCUGGCUGUCCCACUGAGCUGCCCUCAGUGUGGCUCUCCUGCCCCACAGCAUGGCAGCCCAGAUCUUCACUGGUGCCGCACACCGUGGUCAGCUCUGCAGAGGGAGGAGGCAGUGGAGGGAGACCUGAAAGGCAAGCCACUCCAUCUAUCAGCCCCUUCUGUGACCUGCACACGUGGAGACACGGUGUCCCUGGCGAGAGUGGCGUCGAGGCACCAGAACAGCAGGCAGGAGGCUGUCAGCAGGGCCUGGGACCUCAGCAGGAGGAGACACAGAGGGGACACUCGCCUGUCAAAGUGGGAGACCAAUAAAAUAUGUGACUGCAGUUCCCUCCCACAUGAUCUCUGUUCCACCUAAUGUCCAUCCCUGUGGUCCUGCACAGCCAGGGAUGCUCCCACCUUGGGUACAGGGGGGAUGCAGGCUUCAGGGCAGUGGUCUAGCACAGCCAAGGAUGCUGUCCCCACUGGGACAAGGUGAUACAGCCUGAAGGACACACAGGCACCCAGAGGAGACAGCUGAGCACAGGACUGAGGGCUGCAGCAUUGCCUUCUGGCACUGGGAAAGCCCAUGCACCCCGUCCCUGCCCAGGGCACACUGGGGUCUCUACUCACAACGUUAUGGGGUACCACAGAAGAACGGUGCCGCUUUGCCAUCACCACAGGGCCAACCUGAGGGGCCAGGGACACACGCUGGAAACAGAAGAUAGCAUGAAGAGCCAGCAGAGACCCCCCCUCCCCGACUUUUCCCCACAUCCCAGAGCACCCAAGACAAGUGGCCUCAACCCAACAAAAAGUCCCAAUCUCGCUCUACUUCCUCAGCACUCCCUGCCCCACACCAGGGAUCAUGGGGACCCAGGCUUCCCCACUGGGUCAGAGCCAGCCCUGGGGCUGGGGGAAGCCAGGUCAGGCCUGCAAUGCAGAGGUGCGAGCAGAGUGGGGUGCAGGAUGCCCGCACAUGGCAAUGAAUUAUUGAGGAG